This 375-nucleotide ribosomal RNA is filed under the name uncultured organism. RNAcentral's name for it is "partial 16S ribosomal RNA". It matches the Rfam family "Bacterial small subunit ribosomal RNA", at positions 527 to 896 of the family's 1533-position model. The record is from RNAcentral.
GUAGGUGGCAAGCGUUGUCCGGAAUUAUUGGGCGUAAAGCGCGCGCAGGUGGGUCUUUAAGUCUGAUGUGAAAGACCCCCGGGCUCAACCGGGGAGGGUCAUUGGAAACUGGGGAACUUGAGUGCAGGAGAGGAAAGUGGAAUUCCACGUGUAGCGGUGAAAUGCGUAGAUAUGUGGAGGAACACCAGUGGCGAAGGCGACUUUCUGGCCUGUAACUGACACUGAGGCGCGAAAGCGUGGGGAGCAAACAGGAUUAGAUACCCUGGUAGUCCACGCCGUAAACGAUGAGUGCUAAGUGUUGGGGGGGUUUCCGCCCCUCAGUGCUGCAGCUAACGCAUUAAGCACUCCGCCUGGGGAGUACGGUCGCAAAGACUG